This 340-nucleotide unclassified non-coding RNA is filed under the name uncultured fungus. RNAcentral's name for it is "sequence contains ITS1". The stretch from base 1 to 102 matches the Rfam family "5.8S ribosomal RNA", at positions 50 to 154 of the family's 154-position model. The record is from RNAcentral. Lineage: Eukaryota; Fungi.
GAAAUGCGAAAAGUAAUGUGACUUGCAAUCUGUGAAUCAUCGAAUUUUUGAACGCAACUUGCACCCUUUGGUAAUCCGGAGGGUAUGCCUGUUUGAGUGUAAUAAAUAAUCAUCUACAUUAUGUAGGAAUUGAGCUAUCUAUGUGCAAGUAGUGGCUUUAAAUUAAGGAAAUGAUUAUAAAUGUAUUUGUUAUUUAUAGAUAUCCCUGAUCAUUAUCAGUGACUAAGAAAAAAAUACACCUGUAAGAUCCUUUUCUUAUCUAUGUAAUAUAUUUCUUCGAUGUAUAUACAUAAUUAUCAAAAUUGACCUCAAAUCAGGCAAGACUACCCGCUGGACUUAA